Molecule: ribosomal RNA, 253 nt
Filed under: uncultured bacterium
Lineage: Bacteria
Description: partial 16S ribosomal RNA
Rfam family: Bacterial small subunit ribosomal RNA
Source: RNAcentral
UACAGAGGUCUCAAGCGUUGUUCGGAUUCAUUGGGCGUAAAGGGUGCGUAGGCGGCGCGGUAAGUCGGGUGUGAAAUCUCGGAGCUUAACUCCGAAACUGCAUUCGAUACUGCCGUGCUUGAGGACUGGAGAGGAGACUGGAAUUUACGGUGUAGCGGUGAAAUGCGUAGAUAUCGGGAGGAACACCAGUGGCGAAGGCGGCGACCUGGGCCAAUACUGACGCUGAGGUGCGAAAGCGUGGGGAGCAAACAGG